AACGCACAUUGCGCCCCCUGGUAUUCCGGGGGGCAUGCCUGUUCGAGCGUCAUUACAACCCUCAAGCUCUGCUUGGUAUUGGGCUCUGCCGGUCCCGGCAGGCCUUAAAAUCAGUGGCGGUGCCAUUCGGCUUCAAGCGUAGUAAUUCUUCUCGCUUUGGAGACCCGGGUGCGUGCUUGCCAGCAACCCCCAAUUUUUCCAGGUUGACCUCGGAUCAGGUAGGGAUACCCGCUGAACUUAA
RNAcentral lists this unclassified non-coding RNA (241 nucleotides) under uncultured Pseudeurotium. Its description in RNAcentral is "sequence contains ITS2". The stretch from base 1 to 52 matches the Rfam family "5.8S ribosomal RNA", at positions 103 to 154 of the family's 154-position model. Lineage: Eukaryota; Fungi; Ascomycota; Leotiomycetes; Thelebolales; Pseudeurotiaceae. The record is from RNAcentral.